AUGUUCCUGUGUUACCAUGAAAUGUUUAGAGGUUGGGAUUUUAUUUCCAUGGUGAUCAUGAUGAAAUUGCAGCAAACACAGAAUGCCUAAGUUUUAAAAGAACAACACAACAAGACAGAUAUAAGAUAAAAAGGAGCAAGCAGAUUUUGUCAUGAGGGAAGUGGUGCCGGUGGUGUGCGUGAUUGGUGUGGUUUUGUUGAAGAUGCUUCUGCACUUCCGAUUGAUGAAUCAGAGAGUGAAGAGGAAAAUGACGAAAGAUGUUUCUUAACAGAAGAGGAGUGAAAAUGAAUCACAGGCUGUUAUUCAGUCAACACUGCAUAAUAAAUUUCAAAAUUUUUAAGGCCUAAAAAUUAUUAUUUUACAUUCUAUUCUCUAUACACACAUUUUCCAGUACAUAUAUUAUGAUAAUAUGAAGGAUCAGCCUCUCUGUUCUUUUUAUGAUUCACAUGUAUCUAAAAUGUAUUGGUCUGUUAAUGAAAGUUUUAUUUAAUCAGUGCUUAAUUUGAAUUAUAUACAGUAACACAGUAACUCCAGAUAUUAAAUACACUGUAUUUAUCUGUACACUUACCUGUUUUAAAAAUGAUUUUUCCUGAAAUCUAAUCAAUGUAUACAAGAUAUUUUGUUUAGGCUUUACAUGUGAAGAUGGAUAUUCAAUUGUAAUGUUCACCAUGUAUUGGGUAGUGUUAUCAUAUACAUGUGGCUGGUAAAAAAUAAAAGAAAUAAGUGAA
Saccostrea cuccullata (small rock oyster) is the source of this 728-nucleotide long non-coding RNA. RefSeq lists it as uncharacterized. NCBI's taxonomy places the organism in Eukaryota, Metazoa, Mollusca, Bivalvia, Ostreida, Ostreidae. The record is from RefSeq and is a predicted model, not a curated record. The transcript is spliced from 2 exons.